RNAcentral lists this ribosomal RNA (492 nucleotides) under Synchita sp. UPOL 002217. RNAcentral's name for it is "partial 16S ribosomal RNA". It matches the Rfam family "Bacterial large subunit ribosomal RNA", at positions 1846 to 2600 of the family's 2925-position model. Lineage: Eukaryota; Metazoa; Arthropoda; Insecta; Coleoptera; Zopheridae. The record is from RNAcentral.
UAAGAAGUCAGGCCUGCCCACUGAUUUUAUUAAAUGGCCGCAGUAUUAUGACUGUGCAAAGGUAGCAUAAUCAUUAGUUUUUUAAAUGAGAACUGGAAUGAAAGGUUUGAUGAAAAAAUAACUGUCUCAGGUUUAUAAUUAAAAUUUUACUUUUAAGUAAAAAGGCUUAAAUAUAAUAGGAAGACGAGAAGACCCUAUAGAGCUUUAUUAAAUUAAUUAAUUUUUAUUGAGGGUUUAAUGAUUAGAGUUAUUUGAUUUAUUUUUAUUGGGGUGAUAUGAAAAUUUAAUUAACUUUUUAUUGAUUUAUACAAUAAUUUUUGGAUUUUUGAUCCUGGUUUAGGAUUAUAAGAAUAAGUUACCUUAGGGAUAACAGCGUAAUUCUUUUUAAAAGUUCAAAUUUAAAAGAGAGAUUGCGACCUCGAUGUUGGAUUAAAAUUAACUUUAGGUGUAGUGGCUUGAAAGUUAGGUCUGUUCGACCUUUAAAAUUUUACA